RNAcentral lists this ribosomal RNA (346 nucleotides) under uncultured bacterium. Its description in RNAcentral is "bacterial SSU rRNA". It matches the Rfam family "Bacterial small subunit ribosomal RNA", at positions 28 to 371 of the family's 1533-position model. The record is from RNAcentral.
GGCGAACGCUGGCGGCGUGCUUAACACAUGCAAGUCGAGCGGUAAGGCCCUUUCGGGGGUACACGAGCGGCGAACGGGUGAGUAACACGUGGGUGACCUGCCCUUAGCUCUGGGAUAAGCCUAGGGAAACUGGGUCUAAUACCGGAUAUGACUCCAUAACGCAUGUUGGUGGGGUGGAAAGCCUUGUGCGGCUAGGGAUGGGCCCGCGGCCUAUCGAGCUUGUUGGUGGGGUGAUGGCCUACCAAGGCGACGACGGGUAGCCGGCCUGAGAGGGCGACCGGCCACACUGGGACUGAGACACGGCCCAGACUCCUACGGGAGGCAGCAGGUGGGGAAUCUUGCGCAA